This is a long non-coding RNA of Solea senegalensis (Senegalese sole), 1838 nucleotides long. RefSeq lists it as uncharacterized. NCBI's taxonomy places the organism in Eukaryota, Metazoa, Chordata, Actinopteri, Pleuronectiformes, Soleidae. The record is from RefSeq and is a predicted model, not a curated record. The transcript has 5 exons.
AUAACUUGCUGCACCAAAUGCACGUAGGGUUAGCUAACACGUGAUGCUGUAAGCCAGUAGUUAGCACAUGAUGCUUUUUCCGUGCUCAAUUCAACUUUAUGUUAUAUACGUAGGCCCACCACUUCAUUUGAAGGGCUGUAGAAGACUGACAUGAAACUGUCUGAACCAUUUGUACACUGGCUUACUGGGUCAAAGUUUGGAUUGAUUGAUUUGAUUUGACCAUUAUUGAUAUAGUAUGAAUCAAGCACUCUGUGUGUCAUAGAUUCAAAUACAAAAUAGUCAGGGAUGACACAAUAAAGCCCAUAGGCUCAUUUCCAUUCUGGUCCCUAGCACAAUGGAAUCAUUCUGGGCACAGUCAUAGUAAAAUAGUACAAUGUAAAUAGAAUAGAAUAUAGGCUAUACAUAAUUGCUUUAUAACUUAGCAGUCCAGCAUAUCAUAAAUGGAGAGUAGUGAUUCAUUGUUAUUUAAACCUGCAUGCCUAUGAAGCCCAUUUGAAUUGAAUUGAAUUGAAAUGAGUAGUGUGAACGGUCAGUAUGUUGGUAGUCUUAAGUAUGAUGUCAACGUUCUGAUGAGGAGAACACAGAUGUCAAAUCUAGGCUGUUCAAUUCUGAAUAGUUGGUUCAAAGUGUUUUCUCUCCAACAGGUCCUUCAAUUGUCUUCUUCCAUUUGUCCCUCCUUGAAGCAUCGUUUCUAAAACGCAAACCAAAGGCACUUUUUAGAGCCACGUCUGUCUGUCUUGUUAUCCUGCCCGUGCUGUGUUGUACUUGUCAGUCUUUCUGUUGCUGUUUGUGUAUCUUUCUGUCAGUAUUAAGUUCUUGUCUGUAAAAAAAUAUCUUGUUAUCUGUCUUGUUUUUGUUUAUAUCAGUGUGUGUCAUGACACGUCCAAAGUUCAGGCCCUGUCCAUCUUGCCAGACACUCAAUGCUGCAAGCCUCAAAACUUGCAGCAUGUGUUAUGUGAGCCUGUCAAUGAAGAAGAAGUUGAAGGAAAAGACAGCAUCAUUGGACAGCAAGUGGGGUCAAGGUAUCGUCCCAAACCGGAAUGUUGGCCGCAUUAUUGAUUCAGCCCGUAUUGCAGUGCGAAAACUUGAGGCCAUAGGCUACAAGCCCAUUUUAUUUAUGGGAAAAAAAGACAAGAAGGCCUCUAACAAGUGGGUAGCUGACAUAAUAACCCAUUUGCCCCUCACAUCUACCACCAAAAACUUCUUGGAGAAGAUGAGGAGGGCUUAUGAAUUUCUUUUGACUAAGGAACCGCAGCCCAACACUGACCCAUCAGCAGAGCCUGAUAACCCCACCAUGGAGCAGGGUGACAGCCCCGUCGAGGGUAUGGGCCACAGCCAGGACGAGGAGCAGCACAGCAGCCUCGCCAUGGAGCAACGUGACCACACCUAGGAGACUGUAUUUGUCCUGAACCUUGUCCCUUGUCCGUCUCUCUCUUCUUCUUCUUGUUCUACCUCUACCACUGUUGCAGCAAUGAAGAAGAGGAAGAGAGGAAAUGACUCCCAGUUAAAGAAGGAGGGGCUUAAGAAGAAAAAGGGUUGUCGAAAAUGUAGUAGACAGAAAAUAUUCCAGUUUGGCUCAAUUUCUGGGAGAAGGAUACAUGAGUGGCAAAACCUGGGAUGACACAUGGGAGCCUGCAAACACAUUUGCACAACAACACCACACUGCCACCCCUGAGUCUCCUCCUCCUUCUGGUUCAGUUAGCUGAACCUAACUGGUUGGGCUCUACUCACAGCAGGGGAAAAGAGACAAUCGACAGAAAUGACUGACACUGAGCUCAAAUCAAAUACUGUGCUGCAACACGUGUCUUUUGUGUUUAUUGAAGGAAUGUGUUCAUGGA